UACGUAGGGGGCUAGCGUUGUCCGGAAUCAUUGGGCGUAAAGCGCGUGUAGGCGGCCCGGUAAGUCCGCUGUGAAAGUCGGGGGCUCAACCCUCGGAUGCCGGUGGAUACUGUCGGGCUCGAGUACGGAAGAGGCGAGUGGAAUUCCUGGUGUAGCGGUGAAAUGCGCAGAUAUCAGGAGGAACACCGAUUGCGAAAGCAGCUCUCUGGGACGGUACUGACGCUGAGACGCGAAAGCGUGGGGAGCGAACAGG
RNAcentral lists this ribosomal RNA (253 nucleotides) under uncultured bacterium. Its description in RNAcentral is "partial 16S ribosomal RNA". It matches the Rfam family "Bacterial small subunit ribosomal RNA", at positions 524 to 776 of the family's 1533-position model. The record is from RNAcentral.